UCUGUACCUGAGGCCUUGGAAACUGCCAAGCAAAGACUCACAGCCUUGGCCAGCCACUCGAAGAGGUACACCAGAGAGAUUGAAGGCACGAGAAGAAACUAGCUGUUCUCUACAGAACGAGCCAAGGUGUACUCUCAGUGGCCAGGGAACCCUGACAUGGUGAUGGCUAACCAACUGAACAUAGUGGUGGUAGACAAACAGAAGAAGACAGUCGUAGUGAUAGAUGUAGCGGUUUCGAUUGACAGCAACAUCAGGAAGAAGGAACACGAGAAGCUCGAGAAAUACCAACGGCUCAGAGAAGAGCUCAAGAAAAUGUGGAGGGUGAAGGUAACAGUGGUCCCAGUGGCUUCAGCAGAUCCCAGAAACAACAUUGGAGAUCUCUGUCCAGAAGAGCGCAGUCUUAGGAACAGCGAGAAGAUACUGCGCAGGACCCUCAAGCCCCUGGGCCUCUGGUAGAGGACCCAAGCUUGAAAGGACAGACCGCCCACAGGGGCGAGAUGGGAAUUUUUUUUUUUUUAUAUUGCUGUGACUGUUUUGUAGUAGUGAUUGUCAAAUUAAGCUUUCUGAAGCAUUGAAGCUUGUUUAAAAGGGUUUAUUAUUCGAGGCUUUUCAAUACAGUCCACUCCUCAGAACUUAAGAUCUGCGGACUCAGUGAUCACUUUUAAAAAACAACUAAAAACACAUCUUUGUAGAAUUGCAUUUUGUUAACUUUUGUCUGUUUUUGUUUUAUACUUUGUGAAGCACUUUGUGAUCUUUUUAUCUAGAAAUGUGUUAUAUAAAUAAAAUUUUACUUACUCUGGUGACAUCUGGUGGCCAAAAAUAUAACAAGCAGCUUGAAUCUACAAAAUAAAACGAACUGCUUCAUUAUGACUGCCGACUCCACAGAGUGGAGUUCACAAUUCAGGCUGAUAUUAGGCCACCAUUGUGUUGCUUUGAACAUGUAUUUUUGGGGGGUUGAAAAAAGAAGUUAUGUUUAUUCGUUAAAUGAAUAGUUUUGAUCAAUAAACUUUCCUUGUUUAAACAUGCGCCAUGGUGGUAU
Molecule: long non-coding RNA, 1039 nt
Organism: Astatotilapia calliptera (eastern happy)
Lineage: Eukaryota; Metazoa; Chordata; Actinopteri; Cichliformes; Cichlidae
Source: Ensembl